Lasius niger is the source of this 46-nucleotide non-coding RNA. Lineage: Eukaryota; Metazoa; Arthropoda; Insecta; Hymenoptera; Formicidae. The record is from Rfam.
AAAAAGGCCCUUUUCAGGGCCAUACAAAAAUGAAUAAGUUAGGUUG